Molecule: ribosomal RNA, 313 nt
Filed under: uncultured bacterium
Lineage: Bacteria
Description: bacterial SSU rRNA
Rfam family: Bacterial small subunit ribosomal RNA
Source: RNAcentral
AUCACGUGGAUGANUUCUGGCGGCAUAUUUAACACAUGACAACUCGAACGAGGUAGAGCUUGCUCUACUUAGUGGCAAACGGGUGAGUAACGCACGGGAAUCUGCCUUUAGGUAAGGAAUAACCAAGGGAAACUUUGGCUAAUACCUUAUAAUAUGAGUAAUCAUCAAAGAUUUAUCGCCUAAAGAGGAGCCCGUGUCAGAUUAGGUUGUUGGUGGGGUAAAGGCCUACCAAGCCUGUGAUCUGUAGCUGGUCUGAGAGGACNAUCAGCCACACUGGGACUUAGACACGGCCCAGACUCCUACGGGAGGCAGC